Molecule: long non-coding RNA, 4025 nt
Organism: Bactrocera dorsalis (oriental fruit fly)
Lineage: Eukaryota; Metazoa; Arthropoda; Insecta; Diptera; Tephritidae
Exons: 2
Source: RefSeq, a predicted model, not a curated record
UUAACUUUAAAAAAGUAAGUGAAUAAUUGAAAUUUGUACUUCGGGACAAACUUAAUAUACACUGUUCAGAGUAAAAACAUAAGCCAUAUACUCUCUUGGUUCCAAAAAUUUUAAGAAUAAUAAAAAGCUUCCACUUAAUUUGGUCAAACUCUAUACUUUACUAUAGAUAGAUAGAAAAUAAUUGAGGGUUUGCACUGUGCCCUCUCCCAUGUCACAAAGAUCCAGCAUACUGAACAAUUUCAGUAGCUUGCAGAUCCCUGUCCACGUAGAUGAACGGAUUGUUGACGUAGAUGAAUUCAAAAGCCUUGAGCCUGCUACUACAAAAUGCUGGGUAAUCUAGAAUCAGGUGUUCUGGAGUUUCAGCGCGCAAAACCCGUAGUUUGCACAGUACCUUGUUGAUCAAGUUUUUCUUGAGCGUGCAGUGCCCAGUAUAGAGCGCGGCAAGGAGACGGAAUUAGCUUUGGGGGAGGUUGGUCAUAUCUCCAAACCUCCUUAAACUCUACACUAAUAUUGGCUACACGAAAAAGUAUUUUCGUAUUUUGUCAAUAAAUGUCGUUGCGGUCGUAUAUCUCCAGUGCUACCAAUCACAUUGUGUCAUACCAUAUAGUGUUGGAAAGGUGAAAUUUUAAGCUUUAUUUAACAAAAAAAAAAUUAAAUUCGGAAAAGUUGGAAGAAAGUUACAGCUGUUCAAAAUUGAGUUAAAAUAAUGAAGAUUUUUGUAAUUUUUGUAUAAAAAAGGGAAGAAUGCCACACAAGGCACUAAUGAAAUUGAGACGACGCUGUAUCAGUUCGUGUAGAACAACAGUGGUACGUUCGAUUCCAUUCUGGAAAUUUCGAACUUUCGAUUUACACUGAUGGAAUAAUGUCUCUAGCCGAAAAAUGGCAAAAUGAUAUUUGUUUAUUUAUUUAUUAGUAUAAAUAAAAAAAAAAAGUUGAAGAUUGAUUGUAAAUACGAAAAGACUUUUUCGACUAUCCAAUAUAUUUACAUUUUCUUUCAAUUGCGAGAAAAAAUUGCAAAAAGCUAACUGGCAAUGUGCUUCUGUAUAAUAUUUGUUAAUGAAUGCUAAUGAAGAUAUGCAAAUAUAUUUAUUUAUUAAAUAUAUACAUAUGUAUAAUAUGUAGUGCAUAAAAUAUUACAGCUCAAUUUGCUUAUCUCUGUACCUUAGAAAAGCAAAACGAAAUUUUACAGCGAUCUUGGCACCUACACUAACAAUUAGCCCAUAAAUCAAUAAAGCCAAUGACGCCGAAUAAACUAUCGACGUUAUAUAUGAGUCCAUAUACAUAUGUAUGUAUAAAUUUUAAUUCGUGUAUAUCAACCUAAUGACAAGCGUCAUUAAAUAUAGAAUCUUUUGUGUUUGAAAGCUUUGAAAAUCCGCCUCGGUGCAUGCGAUCAUCAGUGAAUGCAACAGCCAACAAUAGUCAAUAGAGUCAUAGGAAACACCAGGCGCCACCACAAACAAUAACAAAGCAAUUGUAAAUUUGCAAUAAUGGAAAGUCGUAACGGAUUUUAAUUAUUCAUUCAAUUAUGGUUUGAAAGAUCUGCCAGCGGUAGUCAUGAGGUGUACGGCAAUAUGCAAAUAAUUCUAAUUUAUUAUAACGUAACUUAUAUACAUUAUUACAUAUAUUAAGUACAUAUAUUCAAUAAAAAAUGUAUAAAACUGUAGCACAUAGGAACAAGUUUGCUCCUUCAACUUAUUUUUGCCAUAAGCAUUAACUAAUUAAAUCAAUUAGCAAGCGCGCUCAGUACGAGUAUCUUAUAAUAAAAGCAACCAGCGAAGUGUCUGAUUAACGAGCUUGGGCGCAACGCGUCAAACAUCUGUCAGCUGUCAACUGUCGUCUUUGAAAAAGAAAAUUUCUGCAGCUAAUGUUGCAAAAUAUGGAGCCAGUGUGGUUGUUAAUAUUUCUGUUAAAACGGCUUAAGUCAAGUUUGUUUUUGUUUCUUUCUGUUCUCCCCUCACUCACCUCAUCUAACCAAAUAGCAUUAAGGAAGCCUGAAAACGCGGCUAAUGGAGGUGGCAUACUCGUACUUCUUUGAGAAUCCCUCGAUGGCUUUGUUCCUACCAAAAGUAUCUAUCAAAAUAAUUCGAGCGGACUUGGGAGAAAUGUCGAGCUCUCUUGCAAUCUCUCUAACUUUUGUGAUGACAGCGUUUUGCGUGAAAAGGCCUUAUAUUCUUUAAGUCACCAACGAUUCGUCCUUCCAUAGUGACAACAUAGUUGUUAUGCAAUAAACUAAGUAAGAUCUGCGACUUUGGUUUCCUGUACUUAUACAUACUAUAUGUCUCUCCAGUUAAAAAAGGUGACAUACUCCUUUGCAGAUACGUCAAUUCGAAGACUUUGCACCUUCUCAGCAACUACUGGGCAUUCAAGGUAUACAUGCGCCGGUUUCUUCGACGUAAGGUCUCAGAACCGACAGUUUUCCUUCGACUGCAUUACCAUUAUAUACAUUUGUAAACUCACUGUUUCUAUGUGAAGCUACUCAGGUUGAAUCCUAUACAUCCCCACGAUACUGAAAUUGCGUUGCAUAAAAAUGAAGAUUUUCGUAAAUUAAAAAAGUAAUUUUAAAGAAAUCACCUCAUGAACUUCCUUUAAAUACGUAUUAUUCCGGAUAUAUAGGUUAGAGUAUGUUCUAUUCACCAUUUCGCACGUUGGUUUUAGUGACAUGAUAAUUUAAAUAAUUAAUUCGACAUUUUUUGUAAAACAAUGGGUCUCAUGCAUAAAACGUGAGCUUUUGCUCUGACUCGAUUUUUUGAGUAAAAGGUGCUUGUCGUAUGCAUAAUAAAAUUUGUUGUAUUUGCUUUUACUCACUACUCAGGUUUGAUCUCGUCAUGCUCAGUUCGAACUAUGUUCGAACUAAGUUCGAUGAGCUUGUGCUCACUUUCAUAUGCAUAAAAACAAGCUUUUGCUCUUUUUUGUGAGCUCUUGCUCAAAUUUUGUUGAGGCUGCCUAUAGUUGACUCGCGUACACUAAAAAGGAAUCAUGGCUGAAUAUUUUGUGCCACAAAGAAAUCCAAAAGUUUAUCAACAGCGUAAAACAAGUUUAGCAAGUGAGGAUAAAAAAUUAUACAGGUUUGAUGAUAGUAGCAUCUGCUGGUUGGCUAAUUAUUUGUUUGAGGAGUCAGAAGAAACACGUGGUGGUGCCCUCAGCAACGUUGAUAAAAUUCGACUAUAUUUAAGAUUUUGUGCAGAUCCUGGAUUUCAAAAUGGUAUAGCCACAGAUAUUGGUGUCCAUCAAUCAACUGUGUCGCGAAUUAUUGCGGAAGUUGCGAAACUUAUAUCUUCUAAAGCAAGCGAGUGGAUAAAAUUCCCGAAAGAUGGAGAUGCAAUAAAAGAUGCUCAAAGGAAAUGGCAAGCAAAUUAUUUCUUUCCAUUUGCAAUUGGAGCGAUUGAUUGCACUCACAUAAAAAUAAAAAAACCCAAAAAUCAAAGCGACGAAUAUAUUUGCAGAAAAGGCUCUACUCCACUCUAUAAAUGUGCAGGCCACUUGCGAUGCAAAAGAACUAUUUACUAGCGUUGACAUAUCCUGGCCUGGAUCAGUUCACGAUUCACGCAUCCUACGAAACAGCGAGGUAUGUAGGAUAAUGCAAAGUGUAACAAACGAUGCAUUACUUCUCGGGGAUGAGGGCUAUGGGAUAUGUCCAUGGCUAAUGACACCAUUCCGGAACCCAACAACUGAAUUAGAAAAAAAAUUCAACAAAGUGUUUACAAAGGAACGUGUCAUUAUAGAGCGGUGUUUUGGGCAAUUGAAGCAAAGAUUUUCGAUACUUCAAUAUAAAAUUCGUGUAUCGACAGAGCUGGCGCCUCACGUAAUAGCUAGUUGUUUCAUUUUACAUAACAUAGCUAAAUUUUUAAAAGACGAUUACAUUCCAAUCAACGACGAUUACAACAAUAAUGAUGUAUGGCAAUUAGGAAAUUAUAUCGAACAACAAACGACAAGACUUUCAGAAGCUGGAAAAAACAAAAGGCGGAUGAUCGCAAAUUUAUUAUCAAAUUAAAAUAAACGAAUAUUUUUAUUUUUUUUUUUUGUUU